AUAUAGGCAAUGAAAGGGAAAAGUAUUAUAGACUACAAUUUUCAGAGAGAGAAUAUCAACCGGCUGAAAGUAUUCUUAAAUAUGACUGUAAGAAAAACUACCCUGGAGCUAUGGUUUAUUAGCUUAUAGAUUUAUAAGUGAAAUGUCAUCGGUGAAAAUCGUUAAUAUUAUUAAGAUGAAUUGAAUUUUUAAUUCAAUUUGGGUGGAACCACGGAUAUAUGCAUUCGUCCCAAGC
RNAcentral lists this non-coding RNA (235 nucleotides) under Clostridium butyricum. Its description in RNAcentral is "T-box sequence". It matches the Rfam family "T-box leader". From Rfam's summary of the family: Uncharged tRNA acts as the effector for transcription antitermination of genes in the T-box leader family. T-boxes are found upstream of many aminoacyl-tRNA synthetase genes and some amino acid biosynthetic genes usually in Gram-positive bacteria. The anticodon of a specific tRNA base pairs to a specifier sequence within the T-box motif, and the NCCA acceptor tail of the tRNA base pairs to a conserved bulge in the T-box antiterminator hairpin. Lineage: Bacteria; Bacillati; Bacillota; Clostridia; Eubacteriales; Clostridiaceae. The record is from RNAcentral.